This 2543-nucleotide long non-coding RNA is filed under the name Malus domestica (apple). RNAcentral's name for it is "long non-coding RNA (MDOM_LNC018613)". The record is from RNAcentral. Lineage: Eukaryota; Viridiplantae; Streptophyta; Magnoliopsida; Rosales; Rosaceae.
UGUGGAUCUUUAGAGGUCUUCAACCUUGGAGACUAAAGGAGAACCAAGGAGCACUCAUUUUAGCAAGGUGGAGGAAGCAAGGAGGGAGGCUAGGCUCAAGGAGUUCCAAGAACAAAGAGCUUGGAGGUGGUCCAUCCUUGGUCUCAAGUCUAGAUCAAGAGGUAUAAAACUAUACCUUCACUUUGUUCUUCAUUAAUUUCUUAGAUGCAUCAAAUAUGGACCUAUGCUUCUUUAAGGGGAUUUGCAUGACUAUAGCUUUGAUAUUAUGUGAUAACAUGCUUCCGUUGCUAAUGUAUAUAAAUUUUGAAUUGUAUAUGCAUGCUAGUCACUAGAAAUCCCAUAUAAAUCUCAUUAUUUCCCUUCAAGUGGUAUCAGAGCCAAAUGUUUAUAUUUGAUGUGUCCUUUUGGAUUUUAUGCAUAUGGGUUUUAAUUUUAUGUUUGACAUAUUAUUUCUUCAUUCAAAAUAUGUUUAUCUUUAGUUUUUCAAAUGUUGAAAAAUGUGUUUCAAGAGUUGAAAAAGAUAUGUAUGCAAAAAGUGUUUUGGAUGCAUGAAUGUAGAGUGAGUUUUGGAACAAAAUUUGGGGCUAAAGUACCAUAGGGUUUGCACGGUUUUGGGGGAUUUUUUGGCAUGUGUUUGUGUUUUAUUGUAAGUCACUCACACAUCCUUUUAAAGCUAGAAAAUCUAGAUCUUGUCACUUUUGUUUUUGAGUUUGAAAAAUCACCAAGAAAGUACAAAUCUUGAAAUUGUUUUCAUGGUUUUGUUCUUGGUGUUCAUGGUUUUGUUUUGGUGUAAAUGGUUUUGUUUUGUGAUCAUAAAUUGUUUUAUGGUUUUGGAUGAUAAACUUACCAUCCAUAGCCUUCCCAAAAUUAUUCAAUCCUAGACUUGACUAGGAGAAUUUCCAUCACCUUUACACCAAAGUCCUUAAAGCUUGUCAAGUGGCAAGAAAUAUCUUGGGUUCUUUCUACUUUAAUUUGAAUUAAUGCAAGAUAUUUGAAACCUCCCAUCCCCCUUAACAUGGCUGGCCACCCUAGUGGAUUAUCCACUUGUGGGGCUAUUUUGUAAUUUUUUAAAAAGUUGAUAAUACUUUCUAGUAUUUGCGGUUUGACCCUUAACUUUUCAUAUUUGCAUAUAAGGCCCCAUCUAUCUGACAAGUUAAAAUAUUUUGAUUUUAAUUUUGUUAGUUGUUUAAACUCAUCAUACAAUUAUGCCCAUAUGCACUAAAUCUAAUUGUAAAUGUUGCAUUCCAAUUAAUUAUUUAAUGUGAUUAAGUAGUUAGAAAAUGGUUGACUAUGGACUUAUGCCUUUAACGAUAAUUGAGCUAUGAGAAAUGGGCGCUAAACUCAAAUUGUUUGAACCUUGGGAAAGUGUUUUAAUUACUAUUUCAAUUGGACCUUGUCAUGAUAGACAUUAAUCUUUCUCUCCCUCUUAGUAUAUGUAAUUUGCAGGAAUUUGUACAAAUCGGUUUGUAAUUCAUAUUACUUCUUAAUCUCUUUCAAUUAGUUGAUUCCCUCUAGUACUAGACUAGAGUUUCUUUAACUAUUGGUAAGGAGACAUGAUUAAAAAAGGGUUUUGACCUGAGAUUAAAGAUUAAUUGGGUCCAACGCCCUAAUUAGCAAUGAAUGAUUGUCUUUCAUUUCUAAUGGCUCAAUGAAAAAUGUUUUAAUUGGAUUGAAAGCACGUAAUUAAAACGACACAACCUUCCCUAGAUCUUAUUCAACAAUGUUGGCUCAUUGAUUGAAUUAACCCAAUAAGUCCAUGGUCAUCCAAAGAGCCUAAGAUAACUAUAAAUUCCAAUUUCGAAGGAAUGCAAAAACCAUAGUAGUAGUAGUUACUUCCAAUAUUUGAAAAAAUUGUUUUUUGAUAUUGAUUUGUUUUUCUCAAAACAAAUAGUGGGAGUAUCAUACGCUACUAAACUAUAAUGAACACAAUUAGUAGUUAUAUAUAUCUCCAAUAUUUUGAAAAAUAUUUUGAUAUUGAUUUGUUUUAUGAAAACGAAUAGUGGGGAUAUCAUAUGCUCUACUAAUUUCAUUAACUUUGGACUAGUAGUUAUAAUAGGACACAAUUAUUUUAAUAUGAUUAAAUAAAUAAAAUGAUGAGACCUUAAAAUUCCUCAACCAACAUACAAUAUUAAGUUGAAAGCGGAGAGGUGCUUUGAACACUUCUUCGUGGCCUUCCACCAUGGUAGGCUCCAAUCGUUUAUGACUCGUACACCGCCUUCACCCUAUCAUGGGGGAGUGCAAAGUGCGUGCUUAUACUCAGGAGGAGUCUAUUUCAACAUUUGAUGUGGUGAAGGUAGGCAACGAGUGUGGCCAACAUCGUAUCAUCGUGAGGUCAUACUUGAACCCUUAUCUAAACCGGCAUGGUCGGUCAAAACUUAACUAAGAGAAAUGGUGCCAACAUCAUAUCAUUGUGAGGCAUUGUUCUCUAGAGGCCAAUAAGAUGGGUAAUCACAAGAGGUUGUUGUGAAUGGGUAGUAAUACCCUCUCAUUAUUAUUUUUGCUAGCCAACAUCGUAUCAUCGUGAGGUGGGCUUGGUAAUAGUG